Molecule: ribosomal RNA, 564 nt
Filed under: uncultured bacterium
Lineage: Bacteria
Description: bacterial SSU rRNA
Rfam family: Bacterial small subunit ribosomal RNA
Source: RNAcentral
AUCUUCCGCAAUGGACGAAGGUCUGACGGAGCAACGCCGCGUGUAUGAAGAAGGCCUUCGGGUUGUAAAAUACUGUUGUUAGGGAAGAGCGGCAUCUGUGUAAAUAAUGCAGAUGAUUGACGGUACCUAACGAGGAAGCCCCGGCUAACUACGUGCCAGCAGCCGCGGUAAUACGUAGGGGGCGAGCGUUGUCCGGAAUUAUUGGGCGUAAAGGGCGCGUAGGCGGCCAUUUAAGUCUGAUGUGAAAGUGCGGGGCUUAACCCCGUAAAGCAUUGGAAACUGGAUGGCUUGAGGACAGGAGAGGAAAGUGGAAUUCCACGUGUAGCGGUGAAAUGCGUAGAUAUGUGGAGGAACACCAGUGGCGAAGGCGACUUUCUGGACUGUAACUGACGCUGAGGCGCGAAAGCGUGGGGAUCAAACAGGAUUAGAUACCCUGGUAGUCCACGCCGUAAACGAUGAGUGCUAGGUGUAGAGGGUAUCGACCCCUUCUGUGCCGCAGUUAACACAAUAAGCACUCCGCCUGGGGAGUACGGCCGCAAGGUUGAAACUCAAAUGAAUUGACGG